UAACAUCUUCGUAUGUUUCAGUGCGCAGGAAAAGGGAAUGCACAGGAAUGAGAUCGCUCAACAGCUUAAAGUUCCAUUGGAGAAGAUCUUGGAAGCAAUUGAGUCACUUGAAGCAGAAGGUCUGGUUUACUCAACCAUUGACGAGUGCCACUAUAAGUCUACUAGUGCUUGAAGCUCAAUAUGAGCAUAGAUAUUGGAUAGCCAAGUUUGUUAAGUAUGGAGUGGCAGAACUAGUGUAAUGUUUACUAGGUUAAUCCUAUUUAAGAGUAUUCCCCAUUUUAUGUUGAUGAGACAAGUGAGUUUGCUUUACUACAUAUAUGUUAAAGAAAGUUUAGAGUGAUAUCCAAUUUUAUCAGUAAAUAAAAUUUAUAUAUUUAGUAGUUA
This is a long non-coding RNA of Ipomoea triloba (trilobed morning glory), 384 nucleotides long. RefSeq lists it as uncharacterized. The transcript has 2 exons. The record is from RefSeq and is a predicted model, not a curated record. NCBI's taxonomy places the organism in Eukaryota, Viridiplantae, Streptophyta, Magnoliopsida, Solanales, Convolvulaceae.